Molecule: ribosomal RNA, 253 nt
Filed under: uncultured bacterium
Lineage: Bacteria
Description: partial 16S ribosomal RNA
Rfam family: Bacterial small subunit ribosomal RNA
Source: RNAcentral
UACGUAGGGACCGAGCGUUGUCCGGAAUCAUUGGGCGUAAAGAGCGUGUAGGCGGCUUGCUAAGUCUUGCGUGAAAUCUCGGGGCUCAACCCCGAGCGGUCGUGGGAAACUGGCAGGCUAGAGUGCGGGAGAGGUGAGUGGAAUUCCGAGUGUAGAGGUGAAAUUCGUAGAUAUUCGGAAGAACACCAGUGGCGAAGGCGGCUCACUGGACCGGUAUUGACGCUGAGGUGCGAAAGCGUGGGGAGCAAACAGG